UGGGGAAUAUUGGACAAUGGGCGCAAGCCUGAUCCAGCCAUGCCGCGUGAGUGAUGAAGGCCUUAGGGUUGUAAAGCUCUUUCACCAGUGAAGAUAAUGACGGUAACCGGAGAAGAAGCCCCGGCUAACUUCGUGCCAGCAGCCGCGGUAAUACGAAGGGGGCUAGCGUUGUUCGGAAUUACUGGGCGUAAAGCGCACGUAGGCGGAUUAUUAAGUCAGGGGUGAAAUCCCGGAGCUCAACUCCGGAACUGCCUUUGAUACUGGUAAUCUAGAGACCGAGAGAGGUAAGUGGAACUCCUAAUGUAGAGGUGGAAUUCGUAGAUAUUAGGAAGAACACCAGUGGCGAAGGCGGCUUACUGGCUCGGAACUGACGCUGAGGUGCGAAAGCGUGGGGAGCAAACA
RNAcentral lists this ribosomal RNA (402 nucleotides) under uncultured Pelagibacterium sp. RNAcentral's name for it is "bacterial SSU rRNA". It matches the Rfam family "Bacterial small subunit ribosomal RNA", at positions 355 to 774 of the family's 1533-position model. The record is from RNAcentral. Lineage: Bacteria; Pseudomonadati; Pseudomonadota; Alphaproteobacteria; Hyphomicrobiales; Devosiaceae.